UUUUUUUGUACUACUGUUCAUCCAACCUCAUUUGAGCUCGGGGCUGAGAAACUCUACUUUCCAUUUAGCUAACUUCUUAGUAAGGCCUUGUUGUGCAAUUUCUUAUACUUAAUUAUCAUCUAAAAAUAGUUACAAGAAGGACAGAAAGGUUCUUUUCUAUUUCUAUGUUUUUUGUUUUUUGUUUUUGUUUUUUUGCUUUUGCAUUUGCCCCUAAAGAGAGCUUGAACGGAAGAAGGCUCAACGCAGGGAGAGUAGGGGUUUGGUUUGGCCAUUUCCUCAGCCUUCUUCUCCCGUUCCUCUCCCUUUUUCUCUCUCGUGGUGGCCGCCUCCUUUCAGCUUGCAUAGCUCUAGAUCUCCGUCCCUCUCUCUCCCCCUGCAGUGCCAGCCAGCUCUUGAAUUUCUUGCUGUAGUGUUCUACACUUGCGCUGUUGCAGAGAAAGAAAGUAGAGGGGGAAAGAAGAAGGGGUUGCACGAAGAAAAGGGGCGAGAAGAGAAUCUGAAUUCGCUUUCAGUCAUUGACCAACCCAACGGCUCCGUCGACCUCACCUUUCGAGUCUACUUCGCCGUCGUCCCACCCACCGCCUCCGUAUCGCCUUCUCCGACGCGACGACCUGCAAGCGGAAUUUACAGCCUCCAGCCCUGAUGCGCACAGCCACUGAGCGGAAUUUCCGGGAGCACUUACCAAGCGAAGACUCGAAAGUCAUCGUGCUAGCCCUCCGAAGUUUCGGGGAAAUUUGGCCACACUGUGUGGCCAUCCGGCGUAUGGGCAUGGAGACGACGAGCAGACGGGGCAGUGUAUAUAUUUGUCACGUAUCGACCUACAUAAACCAACUGAUGAACAAGUAAUUUACACCCUGCUAAGCAGCACCAGUGAGUUCUUAGCCUCGCGCAUGGGCAUGGGGUUGCCGGCGACAAGCCGCUUGCUGGUGUUCCUCUCUUUGCUCAAGCUUUGGAGCAUCGCCGUCGACGGUGCGUCGCCAGCUGCCGGCGCGGUGGCGCGGGAGGCGACGGCGCCUGCGCCGGUGCGGUUCGGCGUGGGGGGCAGGAGCCUGACCUGCAAUUCCGUGGAGGUCCUGGAUGCGUUCUACCUGAAGCAACCAAGCUGCGCCAACUGGGCGGACCUGCGAGCCAAGGAUUCCCGCGGAGAGGCCGUCGCAGCAGCACACGCUGCCGAGGACCUGAUCAAGAAUGCCCAAGUGCAAGCCAUCAUCUGGGGCCUUCAGACGCUGAACAAUGCAGAUCACAUGCCACACCUGGCCGACCACAACAACAUUCCGGCUCUCUCCUUCUACGGCAGCGGUGCCUUCUGGCAAGAAGAUCCUGUAAACGAUUCCGCGGGCCUUACACUAGGAUCAAAUGACACCAUGAUAUCAUUUCCCUCGAAAACCGAGAAAAUAAACGGCAUGAAACUGGAUACAAGAAAUUCAAGACAAAAUCACGAAGGUCAGAUGAUGCUGAAAGAUUUUGCGAAUGUUAUUUAUCCUAUUUUUGAGAAACAAAACGUCAGCACGUACAGUACUGUUGAAGAUAUGGUGACUCGCAAAUGCCGAGGCUCUUCCAAGAUGAUGCUUAGUGGUGAGCACUGUGAUGAGCUUGUAUGCAGCGUGUCUCCGAUGGUGAAGUUGGGAGUGGGCGGUGUGCCAUACGCACAGUCUGGUGCGUCUAUGAUUGUGCUCGUCGAGGAUGAACCAUAUACAAUCAGCUGGACAUUUGUAAAGCCACUAAGUAGGAAUCUUUGGUUUGCAACCAUUAUCUUCUUCUUCUAUACUGGCAUUGUUGUGUGGAUGAUUGAACUACCUAGAAAUCCAGAAUACCAAGGAUCAAGUUUGAGACAAUGUAGCGCUGGCCUCUACUUUGUUUUCUCUACUUUGACGUUUUCUCAUGGUUAGCACUUCAACCUUCAAAUUAUUAGAAGCCCCUUGUCAAAAAUUGUUGUGGUAAUAUGGUGCUUUGUAGUGUUGAUUCUGGUACAGAGCUACACAUCAAGCUUGUCAUCCAUAUUAACCACGGAGAGGCUCCGUCCUUGGAUGAUUGAUCUAGACCAGCUCCAACACAGUGGUGACUUUGUAGGAUACCAAGAUGAUUCAUGUGUGCGGUCCUUCUUGAUGAAUUCUCAAAAUAUCAGUGAAAGUAGGUUAAAAACCUACAGAACGAAGGAAGAAUAUGCUGCCGCUAUGCGGAAGGGGUCCAAGAAUGGAGGGGUGUCAGCUAUCGUCGGUGCGAUCCCCUAUUUAACAUCUUUCCUCUCUGAUAGUCGGUACAAAGAUGAUUUUAUGAUGCUUGGUUGCAUAUACACGACUCCUGGAUUUGGUUUUACAUUCCAUCUAGGUUUUCCGCUAGUGCAAAAUCAUUCAACUACCAUCCUGAACCUACCGGAAGGGGUUAGCGACUCACAACUAAAAUGAGAUGUUUUGGCACCACUUCAGUGCUGAUGGGUGAUGACACAACUCCUGACUUUGGUUUUGCACCUCUCACUUUACAAAACUUCUCGGGGCUCUUCGUCAUCACUGGAUCCAUUUCAACUAUCACGAUACUGAUAGCCAUUGUGAGGUUGGUUUAUGCCAAAUGCACCAAGUCGAGAAACACUGACAUGGAAAGCGCCAGGGAUAAUAGUGUCGAAGAGGAUCGCCACUCGAUGCAGAAUGGCUUGGACGACAACCCUAGCCCUAGCCAACAACUCCUCCAUGAAGCCGGAGAUGAUUAUCCCCAGGGUGUGCGUGAGGGCGGCCAAAAUGAUGGGGGUGCUCAGCCUGACCCAGUGCAGCAGAAUGUCAUGCACGGUGGCAUCACCCCUGCAGGACACUUCCAGAUUGAAACUAACAAUGUCUGAGUCAAUAAAUGCCCAAGAUGAAGGGAAGCAUCGGAUGCGAGGAAUGCGAGAGAAGUACGGCAAACCUUGGAAGUACUUCUCUCGUCAUUGAAGUGAUGUUGCGCUCUAAACCUUGGACCAAUUAGAAUUAGCUUCCUUUUCUCCUUCCCACACUUUUCGAGAGAGAAAUUGAUGUUCAACGAGUGAUGUGUAUAUUGU
This is a non-coding RNA of Aegilops tauschii subsp. strangulata, 3028 nucleotides long. Lineage: Eukaryota; Viridiplantae; Streptophyta; Magnoliopsida; Poales; Poaceae. The record is from RefSeq and is a predicted model, not a curated record.